UAGCUUUGGCCCUGGACUUACAGGUUUGACAAAAUCCAAUAGCUUUGAUUAAAACUUUUUAUUUCUAUGACAAAAAAUCAGUUUAUUUGAAUUUAAAUUCGUAUAAACAGAAACAUGUAUAUUUUUGUGAAAUAAAGUGAGUUUUCGAAAGAGACUGAGUUACCUACAAAAUAUUCUCAGAAAAGCCUGCAAGUAUUAAAUAAAUGGCUUGUUGUAUAAUAAAGAAAUAUAUAAUCUGAAGUCUUUGUCAUCAAUUUCGUUGUCAGUUAAUCUAUUUCUCUAAUGCAAAUGGAACAUUUUGUUGACAAAUUAAAGCAAAACUAAAUAUUACGUGCAUUGUUGUUAAAAAAGGAAAGAACUGCUGCUUUUCCUUUAUAAGUAUUGGUUAAAAUUUACUUUCCUUCUACUUUAUGGUUAAUAGUAGAAUAUUUAUUUUGCUUUUUUAAUCUAGAAAUAUCUUGGAAUAUUUAUGUUUCUUUCUGAGUCUAGAAUUUUUAUUAAUUACAUAAUACAAUUUACUUUCUUUUAAUUUAGUAUCUAUAAAGAAAAUAACAUAUUUUCCUUUAUUUUAUUCUCAUUUGUUCCCUAUAUAUAGUGAUAUAGUCUUUUAUUUCUAUUGCUAGAAACAAUAUAAUAAAUCAAUGCAAUGAAUAUAUUCUUUCUUCGAUUUUCUCUCCCGUUUCUUCGAUUCCAUAACAAGAAUAUCUAUAGAUUAGAAGCUGAUGACGUGUCUCACAAAGACCAAACUCAGCAAGAAUAUUAUUUAUAAUUUAUACCAUCUUUAGACCAUAAAAUACAUAUGAUUUUGAGAACAUUAUAUACGGCAAAUUCGGCUUUUCUCCAUUUUUUUCAAGUUCUAGCUUGGAUUGGAGACAUAUGUCAUAGUUUAGAAUUAAUGAUUGAGAUUUAAUUGAUUAAAGUAAAGUUCUAAUCAUAAUUAUUUAAUUCCAUAUAUUUGCUUCUUAAAUAUUUUUGCAAUCCAUUAUAUUUUCCCUAAAUAUAUAUUUUUUUAAAUCUUUACCGCCAUGCAUACAUAUUUAAAACUUUUACUAAAUAUUUUUACUUUUUUUGAAAAAAAUUAUAAUACAGUUAAACAUUUUUAAUAUUCUAAUAGAGUAUUAAGAGCUACAAUGUCUAUAGAGCAAUAUAGACUCCAUUUAGGGAAAAAGAAAGAAUUUAAAGUUGAAAAAAAUUAUUUUACUCUUAAAAUUAAAAAAAAACGUCAAGUCACAAUUUUUAAUUUUUUUAUUUGACAAAUAUUAUUUGAGAAAUGGAAAACCUUAGGGAAAAAAAGUAAAAUAUCAGCAAAAAAUUACUCAAGUAAUUAAGAAAAAAUUAAUUAUAUUUAGGACAAAUAUAAUGUAAAUCUAGAAUUGUUGGAUUGCAAAAAUAUUUAAGAAGAAAACAUAUGAAAGUAAAUAACUAUAUAAGACUUUGCUUUAAUCAAUUAGAUCUCAACCAUUAAUUUUAAACUAUGACAUAUGUCUCCAAUCCAAGCUAGAACUUGGGGAAAAUGGAGACAAGAGAAAUGGUGAGGAGCCGGAUCUACUAAGAUUGUAAUUCCUGCCAAUAAAUAUACUCCCCCCAUCUCAAUUUAUGUGACACGUUUCAAAUUUCGAGAUUCCAACAAGUCUAUCUUUGAUCGUAAUUUUUUUUCAUAUAUCUUUUAAAUAUUUUAGAUUGUCAAUUAUUGUGACUUAUAGUACUUUUUACGUAGUUUACACAUAUAUAAAUUUUAUUUCCAAAAAAAUUGAAGAUUUUAUGCACAAAUCUUCGAUCAAAUUUAAAUUGUUUGACUCUCGAAAAACAAAACGUGUCACAUAAAUUGGGACAAGGGAGUAUAAAACUGUACUAUUGUGUAUAUGUUCACAAGGAAUCAAGCUUCAGUUACGAAUAAUGGAGAUAAUCUAUACCGUACUCUAAUAUUUUAGGCAACUAUACGUUCAAAUGUAUAUACAUAUUAGGAAAUAUUUCUUAUGCUAUAGUACAAGGUAGGAGUCAAUGUCAAACCUCCAUCACAACAGAAGGUGAAUGACUUAAUUUUAAAAUGUAUAUAUAUAUAUAUAUAAUACAAUUACAUUAUUAUGCAAUAUUAAGUUUAAUCAAGUGAUAUACACUUGCAAAAAGCCUUCAAUAUUCUUCGAACUCAUAACACUUUAUACUCAAACUGUGACCCUAUAGAGCUCAAAGAGUUGAGCACAUUUAACCACAUUAUAUUAAUUUUCAUAGUACAUAACUAUAUGGUUCCUGUUCAACUAAUUGCAUGGCAAACGAAAGAAAUUUAAGGCACUUUUAGAACCAAAAAACUUAUUAAUAUAUAGUACGUAAAUAGCAUAUAUCCUCGAGAAAUUGUAUACCUUCAUGUUGGUCGAAAAAAAUAAUUAUUUUCGAUCUUCAAACUCCCCCAAAGUAGGCGCUGAGCUUGAACAAGUGCCAAAAUAAGAUGAAAAUCUUGGAUUGUUUUCAUCUUCUUGCUGGUGAUUAAUAUACGUUGGUUCUUGUUGUACGUCAUGAGAUGCUUGUUGUACCAAAUAUGUCAUCGAUGAUGAUUUCAAAGGUUCCACAAAAUUCAGUGCUUUAGGAUUGAACCCUGCUAUAUAUAUAUGUGUGUGAAAAACAAGUAUAAAUAGGGAUUCAUUAGAGUUAGAUGAAUACAAAAUUAAGUAAAUAUAAGUAUGUUGUUUCUAACGACUUAAAUUUUUAGAUAAGACCGUUACACACACAAAACCUGCUUAUUUUGUGUUUCAAAAAAGUAGGUUUGAAGAGUAGUACUUUAUGUUUGCUUAAUCAAUUUGAAAAAUACUUUGCUGAUAUUCGAGCAUCAAUUUAUGUUUAGCCAAAUACCUAAUUUUCAACUUCUGGAAAAAAAAUUAUGCUACUGCGUACUCAAAUCAUUUACAGUACUCUUACCUGUAGGGUGAUAAGAACUCGGCGAGACGCCAAAGUUCAAAUCAUCAGCAUUAUGAUUACUUCCACCUGCGGGAGCGUAGUGAUGUUGUAAUUGAUCAGAAUUUGGGAGAAAUUUAUUGGCUGGAAAUUGAUUAGUAGUAGUAAUUAGGUAUGAUAUCCCAAAUUGAUCAGUUGCGGAUUGAACCCGUUCUGGAAAGUUGAGUUUAGCUUUGUUUCCUUUAAAUUUAAGUGCAGCUUCAUCAUAUGCAAUUGCAGCAUCUUCCGCAGUGUGAAAAGUACCCAACCAUACUCGAGCAGCUUUUUCCGGGUCACGGAUUUCGGCCGCCCAUUUACCCCAAGGUCUUUGCCUCACACCUCUGUACUGUCUUCUUCUCCUUUCAUUAUUCCCUUCACACAAUACACAAAUAAAAACAGUUUAAAAUACGUUUGUUGUAUAAAUUUGUCAUCGAAUCUUCAGGAAAAUAAAACCCUAGAUAAUAAAAUUUGGUUGAUUAUGAAUUAUGAUCGAAGAUAUAUAUAUAUAUAUAUGAGUACCUUGUUGCUGAUUGAGCUGAGGUAAUUGGUUUUGCAUAGCUGCAGUAGUACUAGACCGAUGAUUUAGGGUUAAUAAUGGCUUAUGAUGUGCGGAGGAGGAGGAAGAAGAAUUUGUGUUAGUCCUACUUUUGUUGCCAAUAACUUGAGAGAGGACAGAAACCAUAGUAGACAUAUCAUGUUGAGAUCGAGCUGAUGAAUACAUUUGAUUAUUAUUCGUAUCUUCUUUCUCCUCCGAUUCAUAGGGCCUCUUCCCAUGUCUAGUUCGAUCCAUUUUUUUUAUUCUUUCACUAUAUAUAUGAUUCAUUCAUAUGUACGAACUUAUUAACUUUGUAUAUUACUAACUACAGAAAGAAGAGAAAACUAAGAAACUGAAGAAUGAAAUGCUAGGGUUUAUAACUGAUAGUCUAUAUCUAGACUGAGUGGGGAAGUUAUAAUUAGAAUAUUUGUUGUUUUUGGUCAUACUAAUUUAUUUGUCGUUAAUUGAUGAUUUUUCAAUGCUGUUUUUUCAGUGGAGUCGACUAUACUCGAAAAUGGAUGUCAUCCUCAAGAGAUCAUAGUGUAUAUAUACGAAAUGUAAUUAAAAAAAUGUCAUUUUUUAGGUCUUUUUUGGUGGACAAAAUCUUUGAGACCUAUCAAGUCGAGACAGAUCGACUAAUACUUUUUUUCCCAACCUAUGAUAGAGGAUCAAUAGUAUUUUUACUUAACCUUCAAUCUAUCGGUUAAUGAUAUCAACUGCUUGAGCAAGCCUUAUCGAGAUGGACCGAUAGACCAAAGCAUAUUUGGUAUCACGUGCGUGCUUUGAGGGCGUAUUUGAAAGGGUAUUUUCGUGUAUGCAAGUUAUAUAUGUACAAUUUUCUCUAUGUAUCUCCUUCUCCACCUGUAAUAUAAUAAACUAUGAAAUAUAAUUAUUUUAGAAAGAGUCAA
RNAcentral lists this long non-coding RNA (4368 nucleotides) under Solanum tuberosum (potato). Its description in RNAcentral is "long non-coding RNA (STUB_LNC006765)". The record is from RNAcentral. Lineage: Eukaryota; Viridiplantae; Streptophyta; Magnoliopsida; Solanales; Solanaceae.